This 1635-nucleotide unclassified non-coding RNA is filed under the name Leishmania donovani. Its description in RNAcentral is "gene:LdHU3.32.4800(CDS-product:hypothetical_prote in_conserved)". Lineage: Eukaryota; Euglenozoa; Kinetoplastea; Trypanosomatida; Trypanosomatidae. The record is from RNAcentral.
CUCUGCGCCCUCUUCUCCUCUUUUUGCUUUCGUGUGUGCCGCUGCUGAGCUGCGACAACGCAGACGGCUGCACACACACACACACACACACGCACAUGCACACACAGCGGUCACCACCCCCAUCUUCUUACCCCACAUGCGAGCGCUGUAGUAAUGCCGACAUUUUGGAAAGAGCAGGCGCAUGUGCGCCGACUCUACAGCGCCCCAGACAGCACUAGCGAGCUCAUUGCCACCUGCGACAAGGCCUACGUGCCUUCCUUGGCCUACGCAGCUUCGACCAACUCCGCUGUGGUGGUUGCAGAGGACGACGCGACGGCGCCACGAGUGCAGCUUCCUUUCCCAGCCAUUGACCUUGCGUGGUGCCCCUUCAAGAAGGGCACCGAAAAUGCGGCCUACGCGACGGCGUGCCACAGCCAGCCCAUACAGAUAUGGGACCUCGAGGACGCCGAGCUGCGCGCCUCGUACACGGCGACGAACGACAGCGACUACCACGUCCACGCGCACGCACUGUGUUGGUUCAAGGCGCCGACGCACCAGCACUGGAUCGCUGGUGGCUACGGCGGCUUCGAGGAUGUCACUCAGGUGCGCGUGUUCGACAUCAUGGCUGAGGGCAGCCAGCCCAUCUGGUCGUACAGCGACAAGCGCGGCAAAGGGAUGGUGUCCGCUAUGCAUGACUGCCAGUGGCAGGGCACAGUCUCGCUACUGGCGGUGGGGAGCUACGAUGCGCCGUCGGUGCACCUCAUCGACUGCCGGAAGCGGUGCCCGGUGGCGGAGUUGCAUGGGCUUAAGCGGGGCGUGCAGGUGAUACGAAGCGGCAUCGACGGCUCCGACCCAUACUGCGUCUACGCCGGGGGGAGUCAAGGAGAUAGCCGCAUCGCGUGCUGGGAUGUGCGCAAGCCACGCGCGCCGCUCUUCACACUAUCCAGGCCCGUCCACACGAACCAAGUCUUCCAGUUCGACCUGCUGCAUGUGCACGCCGCCGCUGCCUCCGAUGACAGCGCUUCUGGUUGCUCGCGUGGUCUUGUGUCGACCUGCUCUGCAGGCGGGGUGCUGUUAUACCGAUGGCGUCCAGGAGAUAUACCCUCUGACGGCACAGAGGAGCACAUUGGCGCCUCUGUGGGCCCGACUAGUGGCUUGGCAGUGGUGGGGCCCGACACGGUCGUGGUGAGCACCGGCAGCCGCACGUACGACGUAUGUCCCGAAGCGCCCAAGGAGAGGGCCCGCACCCUUGCUCUACCAUUGCCGUGCCGUGACAACGAUCACGGCGAUGAAACGCUGCAACCACACUUUCCGGUUCAUAGGCGCCAACGAUCGCCGAUGCAGGACGGGUCAGAUGAGGAGUCAAGCUCGGAAAAGUUAGAGCUUCUCACUACCACUGAGGCAACGAAUAUUGCGGUUCUCUCGCUUACGCAGCGACAUACGUGAAGCCUCGAAAUACAUCUGUCAUUCUCAACGCUACACGUCUCAGUACAUCACUCUUAAACCUUGCACAGCAUUGGUUCUCGAUUACGGAAGCUCGGGGGUAGGCGCAGCUGACGUCUAGUGCAACCCCACCCACUCUCCGCCGGAUACUCAGGCACAUGCACCCCCCUUUCCCUCCCCCGACACACACAAACUUCAUGCCGUGUGCCAAAG